RNAcentral lists this long non-coding RNA (500 nucleotides) under Nicotiana benthamiana. Its description in RNAcentral is "long non-coding RNA (NBEN_LNC026182)". The record is from RNAcentral. Lineage: Eukaryota; Viridiplantae; Streptophyta; Magnoliopsida; Solanales; Solanaceae.
UUCCUUUUGAGACUAAGCUCUGUCUCCAUAUGCAUUUUGCAUAAGGCUACCUAUCUGCCUUUCGAGGUUAAGAUCUACUUCCAUCUGCUUUGCAUAAGGCUAAUCUUCUGCCUUCCUUAGGAUAAGCUUUACCUACAUCAUCAUCUGCAUAAGGCUACUUAUCUGCCUUUCGAGACUAAGUCCUAUCUCCAUUUUCAUAAGGUCGCUCCUAUGCCUUUCGAGACUAAGCCCCAUCUCCAUCUGCAUUUUGCAUUAGGCUACUUCUCUGCCUUCCGAGGUUAAGCUCUAUCUCCAUCAUCAUCUGCAUAAGGCUACUCUACUUGCCUUCUGAGACUAAACACUAUCUCCAUGCUACAUGGCUGAAAUAUCGCCACUUUAUUUUCUCGUACGGCUGAAACAUCCUCACCUUCAUUUAAAUUAUAUACCAGCUAAAAUAUCACCAUUUCUUGCAUAGGCUGAAAGAUCUCCACCUUUUGCAUUUCAUAGGCUGAAAGAUCGCC